Molecule: unclassified non-coding RNA, 378 nt
Filed under: plant metagenome
Description: partial contains 5.8S ribosomal RNA, internal transcribed spacer 2, and large subunit ribosomal RNA
Rfam family: 5.8S ribosomal RNA (bases 1-105)
Source: RNAcentral
GAAAUGCGAUAAGUAAUGUGAAUUGCAGAAUUCAGUGAAUCAUCGAAUCUUUGAACGCACCUUGCGCUCCUUGGUAUUCCUUGGAGCAUGCCUGUUUGAGUAUCAUGAAAUCUUCAAAGUAAAUCUUUUGUUAACUCAAUUGGUUUCUACUUUGGUAUUGGAGGUCUUUGCAGCUUCACACCUGCUCCUCUUUGUUCAUUAGCUGGAUCUCAGUGUUAUGCUUGGUUCCACUCGGCGUGAUAAGUUAUCUAUCGCUGAGGACACUGUAAAAGGUGGCCAAGGUAGAUGGAGGUGAACCGCUUCUAAUAGUCCAUUGACUUGGACAAUACUUUUAUGAUCUGAUCUCAAAUCAGGUAGGACUACCCGCUGAACUUAAGC